This 155-nucleotide ribosomal RNA is filed under the name Ganoderma australe. RNAcentral's name for it is "5.8S ribosomal RNA". It matches the Rfam family "5.8S ribosomal RNA". Rfam says of the family: 5.8S ribosomal RNA (5.8S rRNA) is a component of the large subunit of the eukaryotic ribosome. The record is from RNAcentral. Lineage: Eukaryota; Fungi; Basidiomycota; Agaricomycetes; Polyporales; Polyporaceae.
AACUUUCAGCAACGGAUCUCUUGGCUCUCGCAUCGAUGAAGAACGCAGCGAAAUGCGAUAAGUAAUGUGAAUUGCAGAAUUUAGUGAAUCAUCGAAUCUUUGAACGCACCUUGCGCUCCUUGGUAUUCCGAGGAGCAUGCCUGUUUGAGUGUCAU